Oncorhynchus keta (chum salmon) is the source of this 3130-nucleotide long non-coding RNA. RefSeq lists it as uncharacterized. The record is from RefSeq and is a predicted model, not a curated record. NCBI's taxonomy places the organism in Eukaryota, Metazoa, Chordata, Actinopteri, Salmoniformes, Salmonidae. The transcript is spliced from 6 exons.
GGGAGAGGUUAAGAACAGUGGAUAAGGAGUGAAAGGAAGAGGUUAAGAACAGUGGAUAAGGAGUGAAAGGAAGAGGUUAAGAACAGUGGAUAAGGAGUGAAAGGAAGAGGUUAAGAACAGUAGAUAAGGAGUGAAAGGGAGAGGUUAAGAACAGUAGAUAAGGAGUGAAAGGAAGAGGUUAAGAACAGUAGAUAAGGAGUGAAAGGAAGAGGUUAAGAACAGUGGAUAAGGAGUGAAAGGAAGAGGUUAAGAACAGUAGAUAAGGAGUGAAAGGAAGAGGUUAAGAACAGUAGAUAAGGAGUGAAAGGAAGAGGUUAAGAACAGUGGAUAAGGAGUGAAAGGAAGAGGUUAAGAACAGUGGAUAAGGAGUGAAAGGAAGAGGUUAAGAACAGUAGAUAAGGAGUGAAAGGAAGAGGUUAAGAACAGUGGAUAAGGAGUGAAAGGAAGAGGUUAAGAACAGUAGAUAAGGAGUGAAAGGAAGAGGUUAAGAACAGUGGAUAAGGAGUGAAAGGAAGAGGUUAAGAACAGUAGAUAAGGAGUGAAAGGGAGAGGUUAAGAACAGUGGAUAAGGAGUGAAAGGAAGAGGUUAAGAACAGUGGAUAAGGAGUGAAAGGAAGAGGUUAAGAACAGUAGAUAAGGAGUGAAAGGGAGAGGUUAAGAACAGUAGAUAAGGAGUGAAAGGAAGAGGUUAAGAACAGUGGAUAAGGAGUGAAAGGAAGAGGUUAAGAACAGUGGAUAAGGAGUGAAAGGAAGAGGUUAAGAACAGUAGAUAAGGAGUGAAAGGGAGAGGUUAAGAACAGUAGAUAAGGAGUGAAAGGAAGAGGUUAAGAACAGUGGAUAAGGAGUGAAAGGAAGAGGUUAAGAACAGUGGAUAAGGAGUGAAAGGAAGAGGUUAAGAACAGUAGAUAAGGAGUGAAAGGAAGAGGUUAAGAACAGUAGAUAAGGAGUGAAAGGAAGAGGUUAAGAACAGUAGAUAAGGAGUGAAAGGAAGAGGUUAAGAACAGUGGAUAAGGAGUGAAAGGAAGAGGUUAAGAACAGUGGAUAAGGAGUGAAAGGAAGAGGUUAAGAACAGUAGAUAAGGAGUGAAAGGAAGAGGUUAAGAACAGUGGAUAAGGAGUGAAAGGGAGAGGUUAAGAACAGUGGAUAAGGAGUGAAAGGAAGAGGUUAAGAACAGUAGAUAAGGAGUGAAAGGGAGAGGUUAAGAACAGUGGAUAAGGAGUGAAAGGAAGAGGUUAAGAACAGUAGAUAAGGAGUGAAAGGAGGAGGUUAAGAACAGUAGAUAAGGAGUGAAAGGAAGAGGUUAAGAACAGAUAAGGAGUGAAAGGAAGAGGUUAAGAACCGUAGAUAAGGAGUGAAAGGAAGAGGUUAAGAACAGUAGAUAAGGAGUGAAAGGAAGAGGUUAAGAACAGUAGAUAAGGAGUGAAAGGGAGAGGUUAAGAACAGUGGAUAAGGAGUGAAAGGAAGAGGUUAAGAACAGUAGAUAAGGAGUGAAAGGAAGAGGUUAAGAACAGUAGAUAAGGAGUGAAAGGGAGAGGUUAAGAACAGUGGAUAAGGAGUGAAAGGAAGAGGUUAAGAACAGUAGAUAAGGAGUGAAAGGGAGAGGUUAAGAACAGUAGAUAAGGAGUGAAAGGAAGAGGUUAAGAACAGUAGAUAAGGAGUGAAAGGAAGAGGUUAAGAACAGUAGAUAAGGAGUGAAAGGGAGAGGUUAAGAACAGUGGAUAAGGAGUGAAAGGAAGAGGUUAAGAACAGUAGAUAAGGAGUGAAAGGAAGAGGUUAAGAACAGUAGAUAAGGAGUGAAAGGGAGAGGUUAAGAACAGUGGAUAAGGAGUGAAAGGAAGAGGUUAAGAACAGUAGAUAAGGAGUGAAAGGAAGAGGUUAAGAACAGUAGAUAAGGAGUGAAAGGGAGAGGUUAAGAACAGUGGAUAAGGAGUGAAAGGAAGAGGUUAAGAACAGUAGAUAAGGAGUGAAAGGGAGAGGUUAAGAACAGUAGAUAAGGAGUGAAAGGGAGAGGUUAAGAACAGUGGAUAAGGAGUGAAAGGAAGAGGUUAAGAACAGUGGAUAAGGAGUGAAAGGAAGAGGUUAAGAACAGUGGAUAAGGAGUGAAAGGAAGAGGUUAAGAACAGUGGAUAGGGAGGAGGAAAGGAAGGAGUGAAAGGAAUGUCACCCAGCAUGCCUCUACAGACAGACAGACAAACAGGCAGACCUACAGGCAGACAGACAGAAAAGAGGAGACACCACAAUCAAGCUCUUAAAUGUCCCAGCUGAUAGUGACUGUAACUGUGGUUACUCCAAAAGCAACAGGAAGCUUACUGCAGCCUCUCACCUCUGAGGAUUUGGGACAAGAGGAGGAAACCAACCUAAACUACACACAUUACACUGUAUUCACUGGGAACACACACACACACACUGUACAAAGUUAUACAUGAUCUAUGGUAAUAGUUAAUGGGUCAGGUAUAUUCUUUGUAAGUUGUGGAUCUUACUUUGACUCUCCUACACACCUUGGAAACGUUUAAUGCCCUGACUUAAAAACAUUUUGGCCUGUGUGUGUUGGUAGGAUACAGCGGUGUGGCUGGGCUGUUAUGAAGCCGUCCGUCUGUCCUGCCGUACAUACAGGAAAUGGAGCAGUUGGGAACACAUCCAGGCGGCCCGUGCCACUGCGGUCCCCAUUCCAAUGUCAGCCAAGAAUAUCCCUGCCAAGGAAAUUCCCACUUCAAUCCCAAGUCUCAAUUCGACUUGGGCCCAGUUCUCUGGACGCAGGGCUCAGGAACAUUGUAAUUGAAGGAGAGACUGCGACACGAGCUAGAGGGGGAACUAUUUCAGACCUGGAACGCUAUAUCCUAGUCCUAGUGAUCAGAGGGGGAACUAUUCCUGAGACACAAACCAUAUGGGGAACUAUUUCUGAGACACGAGCCAUAUGGGAAACUAUUCCUGAGACUCUGAGACACGAGCCAGAGGGGGAACUAUUCCUGAGACACGAGCCAGAUGGGAAACUAUUCCUGAGACUGAGACACGAGCCAGAUGGGGAACUAUUCCUGAGACACGAGCCAGAUGGGAAACUAUUCCUGAGACUGAGACACGAGCCAGAUGGGGAAAUAUUCCUGAGACACGAGCCAGAUGGGGAACUAUUUCU